RNAcentral lists this ribosomal RNA (145 nucleotides) under Amphilophus citrinellus (Midas cichlid). RNAcentral describes it as "5.8S ribosomal RNA (ENSACIG00000023954.1)". It matches the Rfam family "5.8S ribosomal RNA". Rfam says of the family: 5.8S ribosomal RNA (5.8S rRNA) is a component of the large subunit of the eukaryotic ribosome. It is transcribed by RNA polymerase I as part of the 45S precursor that also contains 18S and 28S rRNA. The record is from RNAcentral. Lineage: Eukaryota; Metazoa; Chordata; Actinopteri; Cichliformes; Cichlidae.
AACUCUUGGAUCACUCAGCUUGUGUGUCAAUGAAAAACAAAGCUAGCAGUGAGAUUUAAUGUGAAUUGCAAGAYAUAUUGAUCAUCAACACUUUGAACUAUUUAAGAAACAUGAAAACACAGCUUACAUUUCAUUAMUAUUUUAC